Molecule: ribosomal RNA, 885 nt
Filed under: Salegentibacter sp. HMD3157
Lineage: Bacteria; Pseudomonadati; Bacteroidota; Flavobacteriia; Flavobacteriales; Flavobacteriaceae
Description: bacterial SSU rRNA
Rfam family: Bacterial small subunit ribosomal RNA
Source: RNAcentral
GCAGUCGAGGGGUAACAGGAAUUAGCUUGCUAAUUUGCUGACGACCGGCGCACGGGUGCGUAACGCGUAUACAACCUACCUUUUAGCGGGGAAUAGCCCAGGGAAACUUGGAUUAAUGCCCCAUAGUAUGGAGGUCUCUCCUGAGACCAUCAUUAAACAUUUAUGGCUAUUAGAUGGGUAUGCGUCCUAUUAGUUAGUUGGUAAGGUAACGGCUUACCAAGGCAGCGAUAGGUAGGGGUCCUGAGAGGGAGAUCCCCCACACUGGUACUGAGACACGGACCAGACUCCUACGGGAGGCAGCAGUGAGGAAUAUUGGACAAUGGGCGAGAGCCUGAUCCAGCCAUGCCGCGUGCAGGAAGACUGCCCUAUGGGUUGUAAACUGCUUUUACAGAGGAAGAACCACUCCCACGUGUGGGAGUUUGACGGUACUCUGCGAAUAAGGAUCGGCUAACUCCGUGCCAGCAGCCGCGGUAAUACGGAGGAUCCAAGCGUUAUCCGGAAUCAUUGGGUUUAAAGGGUCCGUAGGCGGGCAGUUAAGUCAGUGGUGAAAGUCUUCCGCUCAACGGGAGAACUGCCAUUGAUACUGAUUGUCUUGAGUUAUUAUGAAGUGGUUAGAAUGAGUAGUGUAGCGGUGAAAUGCAUAGAUAUUACUCAGAAUACCGAUUGCGAAGGCAGAUCACUAAUAAUAUACUGACGCUGAUGGACGAAAGCGUAGGUAGCGAACAGGAUUAGAUACCCUGGUAGUCUACGCCGUAAACGAUGGUUACUAGCUGUUCGGCCCAAUUGAGGGCUGAGUGGUUAAGCGAAAGUGAUAAGUAACCCACCUGGGGAGUACGUUCGCAAGAAUGAAACUCAAAGGAAUUGACGGGGGCCCGCACAAGCGGU